GUAAAAAUGUAUUUAAAAGAAAAUAGAGGUACAUUUGCUUUGGUUUGGGUCUGGGGUAAUCAGUUCUUUUUCAAAUGUCAGCUGAGUGAAAAUUCAACAAUUGUUCAACUGCCACCAACUCUAAGACAGAAUAAUAAGCUCUCCGAAAUUUUCAGGUAUAUUCCUUGAAAGAAAUAUCUUAUUCAGGAAUUGCCUUCAAGAUACAAUGCAGUGUUCUUCUGUGCUUCUUCCUGUUCUGUGAUCUUAGUUAUAAAGUUAGAAGCAGAACACAGUGUGUGUGUGUAGUCAGCCUGCAGGUUAGUAUGAAUUUGAAUCCUGGCAGAAAAGUUGCAGAAGACAUUUUGUUCUAAUUUUAUCCUCCUUCAGAAUGUACCCACAGUCCUGUCCCUCGGCAUUCCUGGUGCCAAAUGUGAGAGGCUGAUAAAUUACAUCAGAAAAGAGAACACCUUCAUGUUGCGGCUGAGAGAUGGGGCAGAGUAUUUCUUCGCAGCACCUUCUCGGACACUGAUGGAGGACUGGCUGCAAUCACUACAGAAUAAUAUAGGACACAGUAACAAGUCACAUCCCACAGCAACGGUGCAGCGUUUUGCUCCAAACACAGAGACCUCUCAGACAAGGCUGUGGGACUUUCCAGACAGAGACUCUGCUGAAAGAGUAAACAGCAAAAGCUCACUCAUAAGUGUCACAGAAAUAGUGUGAAAAGAAAGACAGUGAAGUGCUGGAGUGAGUUCAAAGAAAGCAUCUGCUCUGAAGACUGGGUUACCUCAAUGCUCAACAGAGAGAGACAUUCCAACAGAUGAUGGAAUCUGAGCAGAGUCUACAAUAGGCACUUUGGAUAUUACUUUGAUCAGUCCCUCC
Molecule: long non-coding RNA, 858 nt
Filed under: Melopsittacus undulatus (budgerigar)
Lineage: Eukaryota; Metazoa; Chordata; Aves; Psittaciformes; Psittaculidae
Description: lncRNA (ENSMUNG00000018421.1)
Source: RNAcentral